Molecule: ribosomal RNA, 253 nt
Filed under: uncultured bacterium
Lineage: Bacteria
Description: partial 16S ribosomal RNA
Rfam family: Bacterial small subunit ribosomal RNA
Source: RNAcentral
UACGUAGGGUGCAAGCGUUAAUCGGAAUUACUGGGCGUAAAGCGUGCGCAGGCGGCUUUGCAAGACAGAUGUGAAAUCCCCGGGCUUAACCUGGGAACUGCAUUUGUGACUGCAUGGCUGGAGUACGGCAGAGGGGGAUGGAAUUCCGCGUGUAGCAGUGAAAUGCGUAGAUAUGCGGAGGAACACCGAUGGCGAAGGCAAUCCCCUGGGCCUGCACUGACGCUCAUGCACGAAAGCGUGGGGAGCAAACAGG